UAUAAUUUAAUGUCAAAGCAUAAAAAUUUUUGAAAUUUUUAGUAAUAGAUUAAUCUAUUAAUUAUAA
RNAcentral lists this transfer RNA (67 nucleotides) under Chelonus munakatae. RNAcentral's name for it is "tRNA-Gln". The record is from RNAcentral. Lineage: Eukaryota; Metazoa; Arthropoda; Insecta; Hymenoptera; Braconidae.